ACAAUUUCAGUUCCUAUUCAAAUUCAAAUCUCAUUACAAGUAUGUUUAAAUGUCAUUUAAUAUUUAACUAUCAUCUCUAUACAUCAGUUACAAAUGAUUGUUUUUUUCAUUAGUAUUUUUUAGUUAUAAAGUCAUUUAUUGUAUUUUUAUUUGGCAUAAAUUAAUAAUGUUACACUUUACAAUAUCUUUUGAGCUAUAUUUGAGGUACCAUUGGAGGAGUUUUUACCCUAAUAUAACCUCCCAUUGAAGAUGCCCUUAGUCAGAACUCAGAAGCCAUAUCAAACAAUCCCUAAUUAUUUGUAACUGAGGGAGUGGACAAAGAGAGAGGCUCUGUUACCUUUGGUUUGUCAGCAAAAUCUCCAAUCUGGCCUUGAGCUUUGUAUAUUCUUCAGUCAAACAUACCUGUCCGAAAACUGAUUUCCAAUUUCAAUAAAUGGUAAAAAAAAGAAAAAAAAAAAACAACUUUUCUAAUUAAAAUUCACUUAUAGUUUACCGACGAUUCAUUGUUCAUUGCUGUGAGCUGUGAAUAUC
This 531-nucleotide long non-coding RNA is filed under the name Olea europaea (common olive). Its description in RNAcentral is "long non-coding RNA (OEUR_LNC013951)". The record is from RNAcentral. Lineage: Eukaryota; Viridiplantae; Streptophyta; Magnoliopsida; Lamiales; Oleaceae.